Molecule: ribosomal RNA, 340 nt
Filed under: uncultured bacterium
Lineage: Bacteria
Description: bacterial SSU rRNA
Rfam family: Bacterial small subunit ribosomal RNA
Source: RNAcentral
UGCGGAAUAACUCGGAGAAAUCCGUGACUAAUACCGCAUAAUGUCUUCGGACCAAAGUAUUUAUCGCCCGUGGGAUGACGCCCGCGUAGGAUUAGCUAGUUGGUGGGGUAAAGGCCUACCAAGGCGACGAUCCUUAGCUGGUCUGAGAGGAUGAUCAGCCACACUGGGACUGAGACACGGCCCAGACUCCUACGGGAGGCAGCAGUGGGGAAUAUUGGACAAUGGGCGAAAGCCUGAUCCAGCAAUGCCGCGUGAGUGAUGAAGGCCCUAGGGUUGUAAAGCUCUUUUACCCGGGAUGAUAAUGACAGUACCGGGAGAAUAAGCUCCGGCUAACUCCGUG